Molecule: ribosomal RNA, 61 nt
Filed under: Ilyonectria sp.
Lineage: Eukaryota; Fungi; Ascomycota; Sordariomycetes; Hypocreales; Nectriaceae
Description: partial 28S ribosomal RNA
Source: RNAcentral
GUUUGACCUCGGAUCAGGUAGGAAUACCCGCUGAACUUAAGCAUAUCAAUAAAGCGGAGGA